Molecule: unclassified non-coding RNA, 89 nt
Filed under: Pseudomonas sp. A214
Lineage: Bacteria; Pseudomonadati; Pseudomonadota; Gammaproteobacteria; Pseudomonadales; Pseudomonadaceae
Source: RNAcentral
UGUGGGAGCGAGCCUGCUCGCGAUAGCGAUGAGUCAGUUGCAUGAGUGUUUACUGACCCACCGCCAUCGCGAGCAGGCUCGCUCCCACA